Molecule: ribosomal RNA, 450 nt
Filed under: uncultured bacterium
Lineage: Bacteria
Description: bacterial SSU rRNA
Rfam family: Bacterial small subunit ribosomal RNA
Source: RNAcentral
GUGGGGAAUAUUGGACAAUGGGGGCAACCCUGAUCCAGCAAUGCCGCGUGUGUGAAGAAGGCCUUCGGGUUGUAAAGCACUUUUAUCCGGAACGAAACGCGCUUGGUGAAUAGCCAGGUGAACUGACGGUACCGGAGGAAUAAGCACCGGCUAACUUCGUGCCAGCAGCCGCGGUAAUACGAAGGGUGCAAGCGUUACUCGGAAUUACUGGGCGUAAAGCGUGCGUAGGUGGUUUGUUAAGUCUGCUGUGAAAUCCCCGGGCUCAACCUGGGAAUGGCAGUGGAUACUGGCAAGCUAGAGUGCGGUAGAGGGAUGUGGAAUUCCCGGUGUAGCGGUGAAAUGCGUAGAGAUCGGGAGGAACACCAGUGGCGAAGGCGGCAUCCUGGACCAGCACUGACACUCAGGCACGAAAGCGUGGGGAGCAAACAGGAUUAGAAACCCGAGUAGUCC